Equus caballus (horse) is the source of this 2570-nucleotide long non-coding RNA. RefSeq lists it as uncharacterized. The record is from RefSeq and is a predicted model, not a curated record. Lineage: Eukaryota; Metazoa; Chordata; Mammalia; Perissodactyla; Equidae.
AUACAAUUCAAUGGUUUUUAAUAAAUUUAUAGAGUUGCUCAAUUGUCACAAUAAUUUAGAACAUUGUCAUCACCCUAACAAGAAACUUUGUACCCAUUAGCUGUCAUCUCCCUUCCCCUCUCCCCACCUCUCCUCACUCCUCAGUCCCAAGCAACCACUAGUCUACUUUCUUCCUCUAUAAAUGUGCCUUUUCUGGACAUUUCGUAUAAAGCUAAAUAAAAGAUGACAUUACUUAUUGUAACAUAAUCCCGAUUAUGAUAUGUCCAAUCCACCCUUGUGGACAAGCACAUGCAUAUUUACCCAAAUUCACAUAUCCAAAUCAAAGGAGGCACACUUCGAUAUCAAAGUGGAUUGCCUUCCAUCAUUUAUACUUCUCUUUAUUUUCCAACUUUCUGCACUGGGGAUGCGUUGGUUCUCUAUCAAAUGUUGUUCUUUUGAAUUUUAACAGUUUUUAGGCCACUUAGGUCAUAUUGAUGAUGCUGUGAAGUGAUUGUAGAGGGUGUAUAGGGUCUUCAUUUUUAUGAAGUAAUGAAGAAUUAGACUAAUGUUGAAAUAUGUCUACUUCAUGAUGAACCUCUCUUUUCAAGUUUAGCAGCUUUACCUUUUAGUCCACAUUUUCCCAAUCCUUUAUUAUAAAUUUGAUUUCUGCUUACACAUGAUAUAGUUUGUAAGAGCUUUUAAAUCCUUUCUGGAAUUAGGCCCAAUAUAAACAAACUACAGGUAAAUCAUAUCAAAGAUUGACCCAUUUAAUACAGAUAUGAGCGAGAAAUGGAUGAGAGAGGAAAACCCUCAGGGACUGGAACCUGUAGUCACAUACCUCAGCUCACCUUUCCAGAUUUGCCAACAAGGAGAACCCGUGACUGAUUUGGAUUCUCUGCUUUCUGUUCUUGUUCCCUGGAGGCGUUCCUUCUGUGUAAGGAAACGUCAGAUUUGGGAACUAGACAAGCUAUUUCAGAAUUACGCGUGGUGUUGAUUACAAAUGCGAGGCUCACUAAAUCAAGAGCUCCAGAAGCAGCGUCUUGGAAUUUGUCUUUAACGACAACCCUGGUGCUUCCAGUGUACACACAAGUCCAGAAGCCCAGAGUGGAAGCAGAGGCGAGAGGCUGGGGUGUCACACUGACAGACAACGACCCCACCGACCACCCGCACAGGACCCUCCUUUUCUGAGGAAGGCACAGGUUGACUAAAUGAUUGCAACGUGGCAAUCUUGAGUUUCUAGACUGUUGCCAGAAAGGCUUCCUUGGCCCUCAGCCAGGGCCCCACCCCUAUAAUCCUGCCUUCCCCCAACUCCUACCACGGGCUCCAAUCCCGAAGAUUUUGGGGGCCCCCGGAACUGGGCUUUUCUCACCACGGAUAAACAGUGUUUGUGUGUACAAACCCAGUGGCCUCCCCAGGAGACUGCAGACAUACUUUGUGGUACUUCACCUAAGUGUGGCUCUUCUGAGCGCAGAUCCACUUUCCCUCUGAGGCUGACUCUUCCAGGAUGGCCUUCCUCGGUUCCAGCUUGGGCCACCCUGGGCCACCCUGGGGCCCCUCUGCACACAGGUGAGAUCUACCAGGAAAGCAGUUCCAACGGCUUAACUUGCCUCAGGCUGGGUCUUGGGGAGAAAUGUUUCAUUCCCAGGUGCAAAAGCAGAAAACACGCAAACGUAAGUUGUUUGCUAAAGUGAAAAAUGUGAGCGUGGACAUUCCUUAAUACACGGUUUAUGUUUCAGUGUAAGUUUUCCUGUAACAUUGGGGUUAAAGAGGAAAGGAACUGGAAGUGGAAUUGGUAAUUCGGUAACUUCCAUUCUGCUUUUAGGUUUGUGUAUCCAGAAAAAAACAAUCGCCGCUUUAUCAAGAGAAAGACAUCUGAAGGCAGUCUCAGAUUGCAAAUUUAAAAUAAAUUUUCUGCAAAGCAGAUACAAUUUGUUCUCCUUGAGUUAUGGAAACAAAGAGGCUUUAGGACGGUGCUGUCCUCCCAUCUUCAGAUGUCAGAGACACCUUUCUCCUCUUGAAAGAGACAAUUUUGUUCUGCUGAUGGCAGUACAGGCACCGUAUCAGCAGCACCCGGAAGAGCACCUGGCAGGAUCUAAGCGCUUGGAAAUGCUCUUGAUGAAGAAGAAACUAUAAAACCGCUCAUUAUAAAAUCAUCUUGGUGUGUUGGCUCUAACGUUUGUUUUCAUAUCCUGCGCCUACCUCCUCAAACACCUCCCCGUCACCCCUCCAUCUGCUCGCACAUCAACAAACAGGCAUGGAGCACAGGCUGGAGAGCAGCAUGCACCUGGCUCUGAGGCGUCCCCAGGGACAGUCAUGUGAACAGGCGGUCCGGCCCCAGGUUUUCAGGGUCUAGUCCAGAAGGGGGCACGUGAGGCUAGCGUUUGGAGUUGUUAGGCCUCUGCAACUACCUGAAGAUGGAAGAGAAGGUAUCCUGUGCUCUGUGCUCAGAGGAGAGAAGGAAGGCCGCUGCGGCAGAGGCAAAGUCACGUGUCCCUGCCAGCACGCGGCUAGAAUAACUCAGGCAGGAGGAGGCCAGAGAAGGACGCAGAGGGGGACCAGCCGUGCACCAGACGCACAGAGAGCAAAACCGU